AGAGUUCCUUCCUGGCUCAGGAUGAACGCUGGCGGCGUGCCUAACACAUGCAAGUCGAGCGAACCCUUCGGGGUGAGCGGCGGACGGGUGAGUAACGCGUGGGUAACCUGCCCUGUACACACGGAUAACAUACCGAAAGGUAUGCUAAUACGAGAUAAUAUAUUUUAAUCGCAUGGUUAAGAUAUCAAAGCUCCGGCGGUACAGGAUGGACCCGCGUCUGAUUAGCUAGUUGGUGAGGUAAUGGCUCACCAAGGCGACGAUCAGUAGCCGACCUGAGAGGGUGAUCGGCCACACUGGAACUGAGACACGGUCCAGACUCCUACGGGAGGCAGCAGUGGGGAAUAUUGCACAAUGGGCGAAAGCCUGAUGCAGCAACGCCGCGUGAGCGAUGAAGGCCUUCGGGUCGUAAAGCUCUGUCCUCAAGGAAGAUAAUGACGGUACUUGAGGAGGAAGCCCCGGCUAACUACGUGCCAGCAGCCGCGGUAAUACGUAGGGGGCUAGCGUUAUCCGGAAUUACUGGGCGUAAAGGGUGCGUAGGCGGUCUUUCAAGCCAGAAGUGAAAGGCUACGGCUCAACCGUAGUAAGCUUUUGGAACUGUAAGACUUGAGUGCAGGAGAGGAGAGUGGAAUUCCUAGUGUAGCGGUGAAAUGCGUAGAUAUUAGGAGGAACACCAGUAGCGAAGGCGGCUCUCUGGACUGUAACUGACGCUGAGGCACGAAAGCGUGGGGAGCAAACAGGAUUAGAUACCCUGGUAGUCCACGCCGUAAACGAUGAAUAUUAGGUAUUGGGGGUACCCCCCUCGGUGCCGCAGUUAACGCAUUAAGUAUUCCGCCUGGGAAGUACGCUCGCAAGAAGGAAACUCAAAGGAAUUGACGGGGACCCGCACAAGUAGCGGAGCAUGUGGUUUAAUUCGAAGCAACGCGAAGAACCUUACCUAAGCUUGACAUCCCAUUGACCUCUCCAUAAUAAGAGAUUUCCCUUCGGGGACAGUGGUGACAGGUGGUGCAUGGUUGUCGUCAGCUCGUGUCGUGAGAUGUUGGGUUAAGUCCCGCAACGAGCGCAACCCUUAUUUUUAGUU
RNAcentral lists this ribosomal RNA (1078 nucleotides) under uncultured bacterium. RNAcentral describes it as "bacterial SSU rRNA". It matches the Rfam family "Bacterial small subunit ribosomal RNA", at positions 8 to 1116 of the family's 1533-position model. The record is from RNAcentral.